GGGGUGUAGCUCAGAUGGUAGAGCACCUGCUUUGCAAGCAGGGGGUCGUCGGUUCGAUUCCGUUCACCUCC
RNAcentral lists this transfer RNA (71 nucleotides) under bovine gut metagenome. It matches the Rfam family "tRNA". From Rfam's summary of the family: Transfer RNA (tRNA) molecules are approximately 80 nucleotides in length. Their secondary structure includes four short double-helical elements and three loops (D, anti-codon, and T loops). The record is from RNAcentral.